CCGAGCGUCAUUGCACCUCUCAAGCGUAGCUUGGCAUUGGAUCUUCGUCCUCGCGGACGGGUCUGAAAAUGAGUGGCGGUCCGGUGUGACUUCAAGCGUAGUAAAUUAUUUUCGCUUUGGAAGCUUUAUACUGUGACCGGCCAAAAUCUCACUCUUCAAUAAUUGACCUCGGAUCAGGUAGGGAUACCCGCUGAACUUAA
This 200-nucleotide unclassified non-coding RNA is filed under the name soil metagenome. RNAcentral's name for it is "partial contains internal transcribed spacer 2 and large subunit ribosomal RNA". The record is from RNAcentral.